UUAGGCAGCUAACUUUCUGCAGCUCUUAUGUAGUUGUCCACUAACGCUAAUCAGGGCUGUGCAUGGUUAGUACCUGAAUGGAAGACCACAUGGGAAAACUAGGUUGUUGCUGGAA
This 115-nucleotide ribosomal RNA is filed under the name Danio rerio (zebrafish). The record is from RNAcentral. Lineage: Eukaryota; Metazoa; Chordata; Actinopteri; Cypriniformes; Danionidae.